This 293-nucleotide ribosomal RNA is filed under the name uncultured bacterium. Its description in RNAcentral is "partial 16S ribosomal RNA". It matches the Rfam family "Bacterial small subunit ribosomal RNA", at positions 505 to 796 of the family's 1533-position model. The record is from RNAcentral.
GUGUCAGCCGCCGCGGUAAUACGUAGGGGGCGAGCGUUGUCCGGAUUUAUUGGGCGUAAAGAGCUCGUAGGCGGUUCGGUAAGUCGGAUGUGAAAUCUCCACGCUCAACGUGGAGGGGCCAUUCGAUACUGCCGUGACUCGAGUCCGGUAGGGGAGUGUGGAAUUCCCGGUGUAGCGGUGAAAUGCGCAGAGAUCGGGAGGAACACCCGUAGCGAAGGCGGCACUCUGGGCCGGUACUGACGCUGAGGAGCGAAAGCGUGGGGAGCGAACAGGAUUAGAAACCCCUGUAGUCC